UGGGUAACCUGCCUCAAAGAGGGGAAUAGCCUCCCGAAGGGGAGAUUAAUACCGCAUAAUAUGUUUAAGUCGCAUGACUUUAACAUCAAAGGAUUUUCUUUUAGAAAUUCCACUUUGAGAUGGACCCGCGGCGCAUUAGCUAGUUGGUGAGGUAACGGCUCACCAAGGCAACGAUGCGUAGCCGACCUGAGAGGGUGAUCGGCCACAUUGGAACUGAGACACGGCCCAGACU
This 232-nucleotide ribosomal RNA is filed under the name uncultured bacterium. RNAcentral describes it as "partial 16S ribosomal RNA". It matches the Rfam family "Bacterial small subunit ribosomal RNA", at positions 118 to 337 of the family's 1533-position model. The record is from RNAcentral.